AUGCAAAUUCAAUCACUAGCCCUAUGUGAUGUGGCAGAAGCUAGGGGAACCAGGCUUGCUAAACUAAUUGUGGUAAUAGGCAUUCAUUAGCCUCAGAAGCGACUGAGGUGUCCAUUUCAUCCAGUAGAGUG
This is a small nucleolar RNA of Sciurus vulgaris (Eurasian red squirrel), 131 nucleotides long. Lineage: Eukaryota; Metazoa; Chordata; Mammalia; Rodentia; Sciuridae. The record is from Ensembl.